AUCCAAGUGCACGGGCGUUUUCCUUCUCCGUGAAGCGAUAAGCUGAGAGAGGAAUUUUGCUAGUUGAAAACUAUACACUGACCACUCCUGGCUGGGUUCGCCUGGCCAGGGAAUAUUUGGAACCCUACAGACUCUCUGCUUGUUUGG
Molecule: small nuclear RNA, 147 nt
Filed under: Trichoderma harzianum
Lineage: Eukaryota; Fungi; Ascomycota; Sordariomycetes; Hypocreales; Hypocreaceae
Also listed under: 1 other name
Description: Hypocrea lixii U4 spliceosomal RNA
Rfam family: U4 spliceosomal RNA (bases 1-131)
About the family: U4 small nuclear RNA (U4 snRNA) is a component of the major U2-dependent spliceosome. The structure of U4 snRNA from yeast and human has been reported. U4 snRNA presents a k-turn RNA motif in the 5p-SL related to recognition of Snu13 protein.
Source: Rfam by way of RNAcentral